This 831-nucleotide ribosomal RNA is filed under the name Stenotrophomonas sp. RNAcentral describes it as "bacterial SSU rRNA". It matches the Rfam family "Bacterial small subunit ribosomal RNA", at positions 255 to 1074 of the family's 1533-position model. The record is from RNAcentral. Lineage: Bacteria; Pseudomonadati; Pseudomonadota; Gammaproteobacteria; Lysobacterales; Lysobacteraceae.
GGGUAAAGGCCCACCAAGGCGACGAUCCGUAUCUGGUCUGAAAGGAUGAUCAGCCACACUGGAACUGAGACACGGUCCAGACUCCUACGGGAGGCAGCAGUGGGGAAUAUUGGACAAUGGGCGCAAGCCUGAUCCAGCCAUACCGCGUGGGUGAAGAAGGCCUUCGGGUUGUAAAGCCCUUUUGUUGGGAAAGAAAUCCAGCCGGCUAAUACCUGGUUGGGAUGACGGUACCCAAAGAAUAAGCACCGGCUAACUUCGUGCCAGCAGCCGCGGUAAUACGAAGGGUGCAAGCGUUACUCGGAAUUACUGGGCGUAAAGCGUGCGUAGGUGGUUGUUUAAGUCUGUUGUGAAAGCCCUGGGCUCAACCUGGGAACUGCAGUGGAAACUGGACAACUAGAGUGUGGUAGAGGGUAGCGGAAUUCCCGGUGUAGCAGUGAAAUGCGUAGAGAUCGGGAGGAACAUCCAUGGCGAAGGCAGCUACCUGGACCAACACUGACACUGAGGCACGAAAGCGUGGGGAGCAAACAGGAUUAGAUACCCUGGUAGUCCACGCCCUAAACGAUGCGAACUGGAUGUUGGGUGCAAUUUGGCACGCAGUAUCGAAGCUAACGCGUUAAGUUCGCCGCCUGGGGGAGUACGGUCGCAAGACUGAAACUCAAAGGAAUUGACGGGGGCCCGCACAAGCGGUGGAAUUAUGUGGUUUAAUUCGAUGCAACGCGAAGAACCUUACCUGGCCUUGACAUGUCGAGAACUUUCAGAAGAUGGAUUGGUGCCUUCGGGAACUCGAACACAGGUGCUGCAUGGCUGUCGUCAGCUCGUGUCGUGGAGAUG